AUUGCCCUAGUAACGGCGAGUGAAGCGGCAACAGCUCAAAUUUGAAAUCUGGCGUCUUUGGCGUCCGAGUUGUAAUUUGCAGAGGGCGCUUUGGCAUUGGCAGCGGUCCAAGUUCCUUGGAACAGGACGUCACAGAGGGUGAGAAUCCCGUACGUGGUCGCUAGCCUUUACCGUGUAAAGCCCCUUCGACGAGUCGAGUUGUUUGGGAAUGCAGCUCUAAAUGGGAGGUAAAUUUCUUCUAAGCUAAAUACUGGCCAGAGACCGAUAGCGCACAAGUAGAGUGAUCGAAAGAUGAAAAGCACUUUGGAAAGAGAGUUAAAAAGCACGUGAAAUUGUUGAAAGGGAAGCGCUUGCAGCCAGACUUGCCUGUAGUUGCUCAUCCGGGUUUCUACCCGGUGCACUCUUCUAUAGGCAGGCCAGCAUCAGUUUGGGCGGUUGGAUAAAGGUCUCUGUCAUGUACCUCCUUUCGGGGAGAACUUAUAGGGGAGACGACAUGCAACCAGCCUGGACUGAGGUCCGCGCAUCUGCUAGGAUGCUGGCGUAAUGGCUGUAAGCGGCCCGUCUUGAAACACGGACCAAGGAGUCUAACAUCUAUGCGAGUGUUUGGGUGUCAAGCCCGAGCGCGUAAUGAAAGUGAACGGAGGUGGGAACCUUUCGGGGUGCACCAUCGACCGAUCCUGAUGUCUUCGGAUGGAUUUGAGUAAGAGCAUAGCUGUUGGGACCCGAAAGAUGGUGAACUAUGCUUGAAUAGGGUGAAGCCAGAGGAAACUCUGGUGGAGGCUCGCAGCGGUUCUGACGUGCAAAUCGAUCGUCAAAUUUGGGCAUAGGGGCGAAAGACUAAUCGAACUAUCUAGUAGCUGGUUCCUGCCGAAGUUUCCCUCAGGAAA
This 887-nucleotide ribosomal RNA is filed under the name Nothophoma pruni. RNAcentral describes it as "LSU rRNA". It matches the Rfam family "Eukaryotic large subunit ribosomal RNA", at positions 74 to 980 of the family's 3401-position model. Lineage: Eukaryota; Fungi; Ascomycota; Dothideomycetes; Pleosporales; Didymellaceae. The record is from RNAcentral.